UUAUUGCCUAUGUAAUAGAUGCGAAACCAAUAUGUGACGAUGUUGCAAUCUGUGUUAAAACGGUUUUAGUGAGGACAGGAGAUAAUAUGUGACUAGAUAGAAGGAUUCAAAUUGAAAGAAAUAGUGUUUCACCGACUUUUUGAAAAUUGGAAGGGAUUCAACGCGUCUGAUGGGCAAAAGAAGGGAGUUCCAAAGCCGAGCAGCUUGG
Molecule: unclassified non-coding RNA, 208 nt
Filed under: Melitaea cinxia (Glanville fritillary)
Lineage: Eukaryota; Metazoa; Arthropoda; Insecta; Lepidoptera; Nymphalidae
Description: misc RNA ENSMCXG00005003036.1
Source: RNAcentral